AUAAAAGGCGGGUCCUGGCACACAAGUGUGCCAGAACCCGCCUUUAUCUCAAGGUCAUCCAGGUCAACCACCCUAACCUCAAGGUCAUCCAGGUCAACCACCCUAACCUCAAGGUCAUCUAGGUCAACCACACCCACCUCAAGGUCAUCUAG
Long non-coding RNA from Nilaparvata lugens (brown planthopper), 152 nucleotides. RefSeq lists it as uncharacterized. The record is from RefSeq and is a predicted model, not a curated record. The transcript has 3 exons. NCBI's taxonomy places the organism in Eukaryota, Metazoa, Arthropoda, Insecta, Hemiptera, Delphacidae.